UAUCCCCUGCGAUGUUCGUGAUUAAGAUGAGUCUUUGAGCCAACACAUUGAAGCCCGGGGGCCUUUAAUUGCGUGUGGUGUGCAUGUCUGAAUCUCCCUCGGAGAUCCAGAAAGCCUGAAGCCGCAACAGGGCGCCCACCUUUUAUAAAGGUUCAAAGGGUUUAUUAACACGGCAUAAGCGGGGGACUU
This 189-nucleotide non-coding RNA is filed under the name Syntrophobacterales bacterium. RNAcentral describes it as "6S RNA". It matches the Rfam family "6S / SsrS RNA". Rfam says of the family: E. coli 6S RNA was the first non coding RNA to be sequenced, but its function was unknown until recently. It consists of 184 nucleotides that fold into an extended hairpin structure with a large single-stranded internal bulge. The 6S RNA specifically associates with RNA polymerase holoenzyme containing the sigma70 specificity factor. The record is from RNAcentral. RNAcentral also lists the same sequence under 1 other name. Lineage: Bacteria; Pseudomonadati; Thermodesulfobacteriota; Syntrophobacteria; Syntrophobacterales.